Molecule: non-coding RNA, 1568 nt
Organism: Phoenix dactylifera (date palm)
Lineage: Eukaryota; Viridiplantae; Streptophyta; Magnoliopsida; Arecales; Arecaceae
Source: RefSeq, a predicted model, not a curated record
AAUCUCUAACCACAGCCGCCUCCACUGCCACAAAUAUCUAGUAUGAUUACAUGUUGUCCUUAUUUUCAGUAAAUUUAUCAUUUUGAAGAGCACCUAUGAUUUGUUCUUUCCCCUUCUUUCACUUCUCACGAUCUACUAACGGCAUCACCACCACCUCAAGUAAUACUACAAGGUCUUCCAUCAUAUUUAAAACCUUCUGCAUGUGGGUGAAUCUCACUCGAGAGUUCUCCGUCGAGCUUUUUGGAAGUUUUGAGUGUGGUCGCCAAUUUAUUUACAUGCAUAUAUAUAUAUAUAUGUAAGUGUUUUAGGCGUUCACAUCUGAUGUACCUAUGUUAUUUAAGGCUCUCUCUCUUUCUCCAUUUCCAUGGGAAGGAGAAGAUGCUAGAGAAGGCCGCAGUCCCAUGAUGCCCGAGGAUGGCUAUGAAUGGAAGAAAUAUGGCCAGAAAUUCAUCCAAAACAUAAGGAAGAACAGAUAGAAGCUACUUCAAGUGCCGAAACAGGCGAUGCAAGGCCAAAAAGAGACUUGAAUGGCUUCCCUCAGACCCAAGCAGCAUAAGAGUCAUCUAUCAAGGAGCGCACGACCACCCCUCUCCACGACCUCAGUCUAACUUGGAGCAAGAGGCUUCGGCUAGGAGGGCAAAUAGGUACAAUUUGGCAAACCAAGUGCUCGGUUCUCCCAGUGAUCCAUCCUAGGCUCUUGCACUCUAAUCCUCGUCUCGAGGAGUCAUUAGUCAUGGUCAUUGUCUGCUCAAUAAAGAUGCCCGCGUAACCAAAAAAAAAUUGAAACUAGGUAAAGAAUGCUGAAUCACAAGUGUGCUACUGUUAGAUCAAGUUGUUCAAGUCCUGUAGUUCCAAAGAAUGAUAUUGAUCGAUCUUUCUUGUGCUAGUAUAGCAUCUAUUUGUAACUUUAGACUUUACAUGAGAUAGAGUUCCACUCUUUGUUCGAAGUAAUGUCUUUAAUACCAGUGCUACAAUCACUGGUAUGAUUUUACCAUGUCCACACUACUACUAGUAUACAGAGGAAGUAGGAGAAGAAGAUUGAGCACUGUGUAACAUGCCACUACCAGCUGUUUAGAGUGUUCUUUUAAAUGAUCAUGGAAGAAUAGGAAUUCCAUCAUUUUGUGAGGACAUGUGUGGGUGUCUGUAUAAUUCCACAUCAGCUAUUCAUUUAGAAGAUCUUGGGUGUUUAUACUGGACUAAGAAAUCUAAAAAAUACCUUCCGCUAGCUUUUUUUGGUAGAGUCCUAAGUUGUUGCACACUUUCAGUCCAAUUCCUUUCUCUUCUAUAUAUUUCUUACAUGGAGAAGAGGCUAAACAAAAUAGAAUCAUUUUGCUCUCUAUUCAAGAAGAAAUAAUUCAAUGAUCUUAGUGGAGCAAAUGGAUACUAUAUGAAGUCUAUAUAUACAUCGUGCCACUUGUCACGCCCCGAACCCAGCACCCGGGUUCGGUACGCGACCGGCUGCAUGAGCCCUAGAGCAGUGCCCUAAAGAUCAUGCAAGGCCUAUGAUUAACAAAAAUUCUAAUAAAUCCACAAUUAAUCUAGUAAUUCAAAUAGAGCAGUCCGACAUG